This 123-nucleotide ribosomal RNA is filed under the name Pteropus alecto (black flying fox). The record is from RNAcentral. Lineage: Eukaryota; Metazoa; Chordata; Mammalia; Chiroptera; Pteropodidae.
UAUUUCACUCAAAAAAUUAGCCCUGAACAAGCCCGAUCACGUAUGAUCUCAGAAGCUAGGCAGAGUUGUGCCUGGUUAAUACUUAGAUGGGGGACCACCUAGGAAGACCAGGUGCUGUAGGCA